RNAcentral lists this ribosomal RNA (466 nucleotides) under uncultured bacterium. RNAcentral's name for it is "partial 16S ribosomal RNA". It matches the Rfam family "Bacterial small subunit ribosomal RNA", at positions 28 to 507 of the family's 1533-position model. The record is from RNAcentral.
GACGAACGCUGGCGGCGUGCUUAACACAUGCAAGUCGUGCGGUAAGGCCCUUUCGGGGGUACACGAGCGGCGAACGGGUGCGUAACACGUGAGCAACCUGCCCUUCACUUUGGGAUAACUGCCGGAAACGGUGGCUAAUACCGGAUAUGACUUCCUCACGCAUGUGGGGUGGUGGAAAGCCUUCGGGUGGUGGGGGAUGGGCUCGCGGUCUAUCAGCUUGUUGGUGGGGUGAUGGCCUACCAAGGCUUCGACGGGUAGCCGGCCUGAGAGGGUGACCGGCCCCACUGGGACUGAGACACGGCCCAGACUCCUACGGGAGGCAGCAGUGGGGAAUAUUGGACAAUGGGCGAAGGCCUGAUCCAGCAACGCCGCGUGAGGGAUGACGGCCUUCGGGUUGUAAACCUCUUUCGCCUGCGACGAAGCGAGAGUGACGGUAGCAGGUAAAGAAGCACCGGCCAACUACGUG